This 497-nucleotide ribosomal RNA is filed under the name uncultured bacterium. RNAcentral describes it as "partial 16S ribosomal RNA". It matches the Rfam family "Bacterial small subunit ribosomal RNA", at positions 28 to 507 of the family's 1533-position model. The record is from RNAcentral.
GAUGAACGCUGGCGGCGUGCCUAAUACAUGCAAGUCGAGCGAACAGACGAGGAGCUUGCUCCUCUGACGUUAGCGGCGGACGGGUGAGUAACACGUGGAUAACCUACAUAUAAGACUGGGAUAACUUCGGGAAACCGGAGCUAAUACCGGAUAAUAUAUUGAACCGCAUGGUUCAAUAGUGAAAGACGGUUUUGCUGUCACUUAUAGAUGGAUCCGCGCCGCAUUAGCUAGUUGGUAAGGUAACGGCUUACCAAGGCAACGAUGCGUAGCCGACCUGAGAGGGUGAUCGGCCACACUGGAACUGAGACACGGUCCAGACUCCUACGGGAGGCAGCAGUAGGGAAUCUUCCGCAAUGGGCGAAAGCCUGACGGAGCAACGCCGCGUGAGUGAUGAAGGUCUUCGGAUCGUAAAACUCUGUUAUUAGGGAAGAACAAAUGUGUAAGUAACUAUGCACGUCUUGACGGUACCUAAUCAGAAAGCCACGGCUAACUACGUG